This 497-nucleotide ribosomal RNA is filed under the name uncultured bacterium. RNAcentral's name for it is "partial 16S ribosomal RNA". It matches the Rfam family "Bacterial small subunit ribosomal RNA", at positions 28 to 507 of the family's 1533-position model. The record is from RNAcentral.
GAUGAACGCUGGCGGCGUGCCUAAUACAUGCGAGUCGAGCGAACGGACGAGAAGCUUGCUUCUCUGAUGUUAGCGGCGGACGGGUGAGUAACACGUGGAUAACCUACCUAUAAGACUGGGAUAACUUCGGGAAACCGGAUCUAAUACCGGAUGAUAUUUUGAACCGCAUGGUUCAAAAGUGAAAGACGGUCUUGCUGUCACUUAUAGAUGGAUCCGCGCUGCAUUAGCUAGUUGGUAAGGUAACGGCUUACCAAGGCAACGAUGCAUAGCCGACCUGAGAGGGUGAUCGGCCACACUGGAACUGAGACACGGUCCAGACUCCUACGGGAGGCAGCAGUAGGGAAUCUUCCGCAAUGGGCGAAAGCCUGACGGAGCAACGCCGCGUGAGUGAUGAAGGUCUUCGGAUCGUAAAACUCUGUUAUUAGGGAAGAACAUAUGUGUAAGUAACUGUGCACAUCUUGACGGUACCUAAUCAGAAAGCCACGGCUAACUACGUG